UCUACUCGGCACACUCGGAAGUCGGAACGUCGGAAGGGGAUCCGCAGAAGCACUCGCGUCGCCGCCUCUCGCCUAUAUAAAUGCAGCCACCGCUGCGAUCCGAGUUUCAAUUCGUGCCUCCGGUCGACUCGUCGACAUCAUCAGAUCAGCAAUCGACCCUCUGGUCCAGGCGGUGGCUAGCUAGCGCAACGCCCAUGGGGUGGGCGAAGAAGGCGGCAGUGGCGGAGACGACGGCGCGGGUGGUGGACGACAGGUCGACGGUGGACCAGGCGGUGGCGUACGUGCUCAUGGCCGCCGCGCUCGCCGUCACCUACCUCGUGCACUGAGUUCUUCUUCACCAUAGAUCGAUGGAUCGAGAUGGUUGUACAGCUCGCUACUGCUUGACAUCGUUUCUUGUCUCGAUUCGAUGCAUGACUCCAUGUCCUCUCACCAAAAAAAAAAUAAUACAGUAAUUGCCAUCAAGCUCGCGUCGUGUCUCGAUUUCACUCGUGUGUCUCGCAGCCACUGCUCCACUACGCGGCGCCAACUGGUGUCUAAUGGCCACGCCUGCCGUACGGGCACUAUCGAUGAGGACACGAGAACCCCUCUCUGUAAAUUAUUUAAGCUAAUUUGUUAUCUUCAGUAGAGCGUCGUUACACAGGAACAUCAGUCUUCUGCCAUCCUUUUCCUUAAGUGUGCUGGCGAUUAGGUCUCUAAACAUUGUUUCAAUACCAUUUUAGCCCAAUCAACUGUGAACAGGACGUGGUUAGGGUUAGCUGGUGCAGCCUUGCCACCGUACCGGCAUGGUCUUGCCACAUGGCCGCCUUCUCGUCCUCGCCGCGUCGUGCUACGAUAAUGUCGUGCCACGUGGACGGUACUCUGGCAAGGCCACAUCUAUAGAUGUACAGAAAGCACAAAGCGCGAUAGCUCGGUUCGAAGCAUGUUUUUUGGCCCGGUACGAGCAGUGGUGGACCCAGCUGCUAUGAUUAGGGUGUGUCAGAAAAAAUAUCAAGAAAAGAAACAAAAAAAUAGAGAUUAGCAAGACUCGAACCUUAACUGCUAGUCCAAAAAAUAACACUUACACCACUAUACUAACUACUCUAAUCUAAUCUUAGGAUGUGUCGUGGCCCAUAUGGACCACCUGCUAGGUCCGCCCCUGGGUACGAGCCCGGUCCAACCCGCUUUUAUACGGGCCCGAGCGGCCCGAUACGAAUAAGCGGGUCAGGCUCGGACAGGAAUCUAAGCACGGCGGGCUAGCCCGACACGGUCCGUUUACCUCUAAGUCCGUUAAACCCGUUUUUUACACUAAACUGUGCUUACCGGACCGUUUAGCCCGUUUUUUGCCCGGUUUUUUUCGUGCUUAACGGGCCUGCCCGGCGGGCCAGACUCAGACAGGGAAGCGAUCCCACGGGCUUAGACGACCUGGCCCAGUUUUCUAACCGUGCCUAGCGGGUCGGGCCCAAAACAGGUCGGGCUUCACCGGGCCCGAGCCGGGCGGCCCGUUUGGCCAUCUCUAGCCACAUCAGCUAACCAAGUCCUAUUCACAACUAAUUGGACUAAAAUGACACUGGAACAAUAUUUAGGGACCUUAUCGACUGUUCUAAGAGUUUAGGGACUAGCUUGAUACACCUAAACAAGUUUAGGGAUCGUCAACACACUUUAUUAUUUUUCUUGCUAUAAUACUUAACAUUAUUGCGGGACUAAAUAGGUUGAUUCAUUUAAGUAAGUUAAUAUAGCACGACCCAUAAUAAAUGCUAGGGAGUCAACAGAUUAUUCCGGCAUUGCUAGUUGACAAAGACUUUGACCAAUUUAAAGAUGGACUUAGUUUACAUCUGUUGUGAAGUUAAAAGAAAAAGAAAACUGGCGUGCCACGCGUGCUCAAUACCCAAACAUGCUCAUGGCGAGACAGACCGACGUUACGGUGUGACUGGACGUGAUGUGAUGUGACACUGCUGUUUGAUGGUAAUCAGUGUUGACAACCGUUUGGUUUGGCUUCUGCACCUAUACCAAGAGUAGACACCUCUGUUCAAAAAAUAUAAUCUCACAAACCUCAUGUAUGCUUGCUUAGGAGACAUGUCCCUCCUUUACAUGCACGGACGCAGACCUCCGAAAUGACUGUCGUCCAAGCGCUUAUCUUGCUCGUGUGAAGGAUGUGCAAUUCGAUUUUUUGGGACUUGAUGUAUACCCAUACCAAGGGUACCUAAGAUCACUCUAAAAGCUUACUCUAAGAAAAUAGCACCACCAGCAAAAUAUAGCCAAGGCCGAAGGCAACCCAACCUGGUCACCUCGACCAGAACAACCCAAACCAUAAUAGCCUCGACCUAUCACCCUAACUAUGUGGGUACCUACUAGAGCUAUUCUGACCAAGUCAUCCUGACCAAAACUACCAUGUCCUAGUCACCCUAACUAGGUUGGAUCCCUGAUCAUAGUGAUCCCGACAUGCCCCCCUCGGCUAGGUCAACCUCGUCCUUGGUCACCCUAGGUGAUCCCGACCUGGUCACUUCGACUAGGUUAGACCCGACCUGGUCAUCUCGACUAGGUCGCCACCGAUCCUAAUCGCUCUAAGGUAAAUCAAUCUAGGUCAUACAAACCUGAUAAGACUUAAUGGUAUCAUGGCCCAGAGUCCGAAGGUACCAUGAAUCUCCAUGUAGGGCUAACACAUUUAUGGUAUUUUGACCGCUCAACGCACGCUCCUGACUAGGUGUGAGCAGGAUAAGGUAGAUACAGUACGAAGGAUGUUGGAAACAUAUAUGUCCAACCACUCGACUCUUUAAAGGAUAACAAGAACCUAUAGACCAUGAUGGGCCUCACCAUAGGUGUAAGGCGAUCAAACGCCCUAGAUAGUACUUAAGUAGGAGGGAACUCUAAGAUGAACCACCCAUAUGGCUCCCUCAGAGACGCCGCUUCAUAUAAGGGCUCCGAAGACCCCUCUGCAAGACACAAUUGCCCUAGGUAUGUUCAGUUCAGAAGUGACAAGACCUUGAAAGCCAGACACACCAACAAUGGCAACCCUUCGGAGCAUAUAAGAGCAUAAGACAACUUACGACCCGUAGGCAGGGGAUGACUCAUCCCAUCGAUUUUUCUAUGUAACUCAGCUACCUACCCCCUCAACUAUAUAACGGGGAUAUGACCUCCUACAAGGGGCAUCAUUUCAUCGGACAAAGUAUCCAGUCGACACACAAGCAUGAGUGCCUAGGCUUCGCCUUAUAACGCACCCAAGCAAGCAACAAAUACUUCACCAUACUGGACGUAGAGGACAUCCUAGAACCAAUCUAACAUAGCGUCAAUGUAGCGAAAUGACAUUGUUGUACUCCUCAAAUACUAGGGGCGUCUAUGUAAUAGGAAGGGGAUAAAAAUAUAAUUUCAUACGAAGAUGCACCUGAACUAGCUCACACAAAUAGAUGAACAAUAAUGUUUAGGAAGUCAAUAAUUUACAAAUUUCAAAUGUGGCGUUGAAGAGCCUCCGAAAGUAUUAAUUUAUCGAAACCCAUGUAUUAAGAAUAAGUAUAUUUUGCGUUCAAGCAUUCAUAUACUUCCUCACAUGUAUAUAUAAACUAGUAUAAUGCUCGUAUGUUGUGAUGGCACACUAAUCAUAUUUAAUGGUAUAUAGUGGUGCGAUAUAUGUAUGACAUGCGAGUCCCAGUGGCAAGUUGGCGUAAUAAACUCUCCCCACAAAAAAUUUAAUUUAAAAUUAAAGGUACCCUCUUCACAAAAAAUAAAUUUAAUGCACGCUAAUGUGAUGGGCUAUCUCCACAAAAAAUAAAUUUAAUUUAAAAUUAAAGUAGAAACUUUCAAGAAAAAAUAAAUUUAAAAAUUAAAGUAGACUAUGACCCGUAUACCAGAUAUUAAACUACUUGCACUUUAUCUUAGGCAAAAUGCCAAGAAUGAUAUGAAUUGAAAAUAAGAUAUGUCCUUUUUUUUAUAAGUAGCUCGGUCGCUCAUCCUCCUUCAGCUAGAGAGGUGGUACUAUCUAGAUCUUUAUGUUGUGUUGGGCUUAGGUGUUUUCUCACAACCCAUCUAUUAAGUAGCAACCCACAUUAGGACUGAGGGUUAAAUUAGAAUAAAUAUAAGAACUUUUUUUUUGCAAAGAGACGACACUGGAAACCAAAAAACUAAUGCUUUAGGCUGUUUCCGGUAGCUCUUCUAUCAUAUCCUUUAUCACGUACCAUAUUUCAAACUUCACUCUACAAAUAUUGUGUCCCCUGUUUUAUAGGGUCCACUGGAAACAACUUUAUAGGAGCAGAAAAGAGAAGAGAAUAGAUGGAAAGCUUUGACUUUUGGACUUGUAAUCAAUCAAAUGACAUUCACUUUUUGAAUGAUUAUCUUAUUUCACGUAGAUAGGCAAAACUCUUUUAUAACAAAAAACUUUGAAGGAGGAUUUUAUCAUCUUUUUCUCAAAAUUUAGACAGAUGCCCAAGCGCGCACAAGAAAACUUGGCAGAAACCUCUAAUUAAUUUAUUUGUUGUUCCCGUUGGAGUUGGACCCGGCGCCCGCGGCCGUAGAAAGGUCAAUUCGAGACGGAACCUUCUUGGAGAUUCUGUUGUGGUUGUGGCAUGAAAACGCGGCGAAGCAAAGGAAAGCAGAGAGCGUCCGGAUCCCCACGUGCCUCGUCGCUCGGCAGCCGUCCCGGCAUCAAGAAUUCAGCAUCCACCGGCUGGCACCCACGAAGCCUCGAGAGCCGCCACCUCUCCCAGGCCCCCUACUCGGUCUCCUCUCGCUAUAUAAUGCAUCCACCGCACCGAUCCGAGCUUCAAUUGCCCUCUCAGGUCGGCUCAUCAACAUCAGGCCAUCCACCAAUUCACUCCGACAGCUAACACGUUUGCCGCCGAUGGGGUCGUCGGUGAAGAAGGCGGCAGUGGCGGAGACGACGGCGCGGGCGGUGGACCAGGCGGUGGCGUACGUGCUCAUGGCCGCCGCGCUCGCCGUCACCUACCUCGUGCACUGACCACCGCGCGGUGAACUCAAGUGCCAAUUUUGAUACAUCCUACGGAAAGGAGGACAGACAAGCUGGAGAUGACGUACUAUGAUUCAAUCGCAGCGGAGGAUUCGACUAUCUAGGGUCGCCACCGUACUUCUUAUCGAUCUCAACCAAACCCUUCGUUAUUGUAAAAAAGAUGUACUACAGAUCUUCUAUAACGAACAGUGCUCAUGAGGGCAAACAUGUCAUGCACUCAUGCUCUAGGAUAAAAGAAAAGAAAUGUCGUUGGAGAUCUUCCAUGCAAUGGAUAGUGUUCGUGAGUGCUAACAGUACGUGUGCUCGGUCAUGAGGCCUGGACAGCUAUGUUACCCGUGUCAGGAUACGGAUACGCGAUACGUCGAUACCCCGAUACGCCAUUUCUCAAAAAACACCGAUACGUAAAUAUAUAUUAUAAAUAAAAAUAAAUAGCAGGAUUAUUA
This 5376-nucleotide long non-coding RNA is filed under the name Zea mays. Its description in RNAcentral is "long non-coding RNA (ZMAY_LNC003980)". Lineage: Eukaryota; Viridiplantae; Streptophyta; Magnoliopsida; Poales; Poaceae. The record is from RNAcentral.